RNAcentral lists this ribosomal RNA (530 nucleotides) under uncultured bacterium. Its description in RNAcentral is "partial 16S ribosomal RNA". It matches the Rfam family "Bacterial small subunit ribosomal RNA", at positions 356 to 874 of the family's 1533-position model. The record is from RNAcentral.
UGGGAAUUUUGGACAAUGGGCGAAAGCCUGAUCCAGCCAUGCCGCGUGCAGGAUGAAGGCCUUCGGGUUGUAAACUGCUUUUGUACGGAACGAAAAGACUCUGGUUAAUACCUGGGGUCCAUGACGGUACCGUAAGAAUAAGCACCGGCUAACUACGUGCCAGCAGCCGCGGUAAUACGUAGGGUGCAAGCGUUAAUCGGAAUUACUGGGCGUAAAGCGUGCGCAGGCGGUUAUAUAAGACAGAUGUGAAAUCCCCGGGCUCAACCUGGGAACUGCAUUUGUGACUGUAUAGCUAGAGUACGGCAGAGGGGGAUGGAAUUCCGCGUGUAGCAGUGAAAUGCGUAGAUAUGCGGAGGAACACCGAUGGCGAAGGCAAUCCCCUGGGCCUGUACUGACGCUCAUGCACGAAAAGCGUGGGGAGCAAAACAGGAUUAGAUACCCUGGUAGUCCACGCCCUAAACGAUGUCAACUGGGUUGUUGGGUCUUUCACUGACUCAGUAACGAAGCUAAACGCGUGAAGUUGACCGCCU